CAAACUCCUAGGUUCCAGCCAUCCUCCUGCCUUAGCCUCCCAAAGUGCUGGGAUUACAGGCAACAUGAGUCUACACGAGAUCUCAUUCUGCCCUUCAGGUCCGACGCCCUCCCCUCGCCUCAACCUCCCGUGCCACUUCAGUACUCAAUAUAUGAAUCAUGGGCAAAACUAGCUGUGUAUCUGAAAUCUCUCUAUAGUCUAGUCUGUCAUGCCAGCAAAUGUCUCCAGGGGAGAAAAGGCUGAUGAUUUCUGUUCACCUAAAAAGGGCUCUUUCAACUCUGGAAUUGUAAUUCAUUUGGAACCCUUUGUUUUCAAGCUCUUCAAUGUGUUUAAGAUUUUUGUGACUUGUCUAUUUUUUUUCCUAGUUGUUGAUGUGGGAGUGAUGAACUGUGGAUAUUUGUGUAUCCCACCUGGAAGCAAAAGUUCAUAAUGACUUUUAAAGACAGACCAUGAAGAUUACGACUUGAAAACCACUGCUUUAUAUAUCUUCAUUCUAAUAAUGAUAAUUAUUUAUCAGAUUACUAAGAUUACCAAAAUAAAAUAAUUUGCAUUGGUUUAGGUAAGCAAGUCUAUUUUUGCCAACCUUGCUGACUGAGCUGUUAAAACUUUACAUCUGCAAACUCUGUCACCCCUACUUUCAAGACUACAGCUUAUGAAGGAAUAAGGUUUAUGAUUAGCCUGAAAGACCUGAUAUACUUGGUUGUAUGCCUUUGGAACCUGUAUACUAUUUGAUUUGCAUUUGUUUAACCUCUCUCUCUUCCUUGAGACCAACAUCCUGCCCCAGUUGGUUCCCUCCAUGAUUUUUAGGCAUCUGCCUCAGUUUGCUGAUUAGCACAUUAUUUAUGUGCAAUUAUACUACUAGGAAUGAACUCUAUGUUUGACUUCAACCUAUCCAAGUGGAGACUUAUUACCCUACGUAGCUCUUGCCAAAUAGCAUCUCUGGGGGAUAACUUCUCAUCCUCUGUCCCCCAGCCAGUAGCAGUGAUCUUUUUUAGAUCACAUAAUUAAAGAUAUUCCUACCUCAGAUAACAGUGCUGCCAUCCUUACCGCUAGGCUGACUUGAACUUUCACCUGACUAGAUUUCACUUUGUUGAAGGGGUUUUUGUCUAAUGGGGCUGAUUUUCUUGUCGUUUUUAACCUCUCAGUUCUGGCUUCCUUUCCUUAUCUUCAUGAGGCCAUGCUGCUGAAGUUUUAGCAGGUUUUAAAUCGAAGCCUUAGAAGUUAGGACGAAACUGAACGCUAUGUAGAGCAGCAGUUCUUAAAGUCUGAUCUGCAGAUCUCUGCAGGUCUCGGAGACGCUUUCAGAAAGUCUGUGAGGGGAAAACUAUUUUCAUCGUAAUAUCAUCUUUAUUUGCUUUUUUCACUGUGUUGACAUUUGCACUGAUGAUACAAAAGCAACAGUGGGUGCCUCAAGACAAAUCAAAGCAGUGGCACCACACCAUGUGAGUAGUCGUUUAAUUCCUCAUCCAUGCAUUUGCGUUAAAAAAGUCAGUUUCACCUAACAGUGUCCUUGAUGAAGUAUUAGUUUUUAUUAAAUCUUGACCCUUGAGUCUUUUAACGUUCUAUGUAAUAGAAAGAGAAGUGUGCAUACAGCACUCUGCUACAUUCUGAAAUAUGAUGUCUAUCUCCAGGAAAAAGCACUUAUGCAAUUGUUUAAGUUAUAAACUAAACUAGUGGCUUUUCCCAUGGAACACCAUUUUUUAUUUGGAAAAAAAAAAAAAAGACUCUUACACAAACUCUGGUUGUUCUGAUUCGGGCAUUUGGCAGACAUUUUCCGAAAAAUGAA
Non-coding RNA from Chlorocebus sabaeus (green monkey), 1786 nucleotides. The record is from RefSeq and is a predicted model, not a curated record. NCBI's taxonomy places the organism in Eukaryota, Metazoa, Chordata, Mammalia, Primates, Cercopithecidae.